UGGUUCUGGCAUCGAUGAAGAACGCAGCGAAAUGCGAUAAGUAGUGUGAAUUGCAGAAUUCAGUGAAUCAUCGAAUCUUUGAACGCACAUUGCGCCCUUUGGUAUUCCUUAGGGCAUGCCUGUUCGAGCGUCAUCUAACCCCUCAAGCAUCGCUUGGUGUUGGGCGCCUGUCCCGCCUCCGCGCGCGGACUCGCCUCGAAGACAUUGGCGGCCCGUGUAUUGGCCAUGAGCGCAGCAGACCCGCGCCUCAUCGCCUCUCGCGCGGGCGUCCCAGGAAGCGAACCCCCCCAAUUUUGACCUCGGAUCAGGUAGGGAUACCCGCUGA
RNAcentral lists this unclassified non-coding RNA (325 nucleotides) under uncultured fungus. RNAcentral's name for it is "partial contains 5.8S ribosomal RNA and internal transcribed spacer 2". The stretch from base 1 to 133 matches the Rfam family "5.8S ribosomal RNA", at positions 22 to 154 of the family's 154-position model. Lineage: Eukaryota; Fungi. The record is from RNAcentral.